Molecule: long non-coding RNA, 262 nt
Filed under: Cotesia glomerata
Lineage: Eukaryota; Metazoa; Arthropoda; Insecta; Hymenoptera; Braconidae
Description: uncharacterized LOC123270394, transcript variant X1
Source: RNAcentral
CAGUAGUCCGAGAUUUACAAUUAUUCGAGAUAGAUUUUACUUUGGAAAUGGAAAUGGAAAGUGUUUGGUUUUUGGAAGCGAGGCAAUGAACAGUCAUUCUGAUUUUGAUUCCGAUGCAGUCAUCGAUGCAGUCAUCGAUGCAGUGUUUUUUCUUGAUCUCGUAUCGUGUAUAGCCAAAUUAUCCAUUGAAAAGAUUAAAAACAAAAAUUUAAAACUAACUUUUGGUUUUGUUUUCGUGAUUUAUCAGGUCAUGAUUGCAGCA